UGCUUANGAAUUUGCCCAGUCGAGGGGGAUAACUAUUGGAAACGAUAGCUAAUACCGCAUACGCCCUACGGGGGAAAAGAGGGGACCUUCGGGCCUUCUGCGAUUGGAUAAGCCUAAGUGAGAUUAGCUAGUUGGUGAGGUAAUGGCUCACCAAGGCGACGAUCUCUAGCUGGUCUGAGAGGAUGAUCAGCCACACUGGAACUGAGACACGGUCCAGACUCCUACGGGAGGCAGCAGUGGGGAAUAUUGCACAAUGGGCGCAAGCCUGAUGCAGCCAUGCCGCGUGUAUGAAGAAGGCCUUCGGGUUGUAAAGUACUUUCAGCAGUGAGGAAGGNUCAUGCGUUAAUAGCGUAUGGAUUUGACGUUAGCUGCAGAAGAANCACCGGCUAACUCCGUGCCAGCAGCCGCGGUAAUACGGAGGGUGCGAGCGNUAAUCGGAAUUACUGGGCGUAAAGCGCAUGCAGGUGGUUUGNUAAGUCAGAUGUGAAAGCCCCAGGCUCAACCUGGGAAGGUCAUUUGAAACUGGCAAGCUAGAGUACUGNANAGGGGGUA
Molecule: ribosomal RNA, 552 nt
Filed under: Vibrio sp. HR07-34
Lineage: Bacteria; Pseudomonadati; Pseudomonadota; Gammaproteobacteria; Vibrionales; Vibrionaceae
Description: bacterial SSU rRNA
Rfam family: Bacterial small subunit ribosomal RNA
Source: RNAcentral